Molecule: ribosomal RNA, 74 nt
Filed under: Shewanella chilikensis
Lineage: Bacteria; Pseudomonadati; Pseudomonadota; Gammaproteobacteria; Alteromonadales; Shewanellaceae
Also listed under: 1 other name
Description: partial 16S ribosomal RNA
Rfam family: Bacterial small subunit ribosomal RNA
Source: RNAcentral
CGGUGUGGUUCAUGACUGGGGUGAAGUCGUAACAAGGUAGCCCUAGGGGAACCUGGGGCUGGAUCACCUCCUUA